Long non-coding RNA from Castor canadensis (American beaver), 1951 nucleotides. RefSeq lists it as uncharacterized. The record is from RefSeq and is a predicted model, not a curated record. NCBI's taxonomy places the organism in Eukaryota, Metazoa, Chordata, Mammalia, Rodentia, Castoridae.
GGGCGGCUGCGGGUCAGCUGGGGCCGCGGGUGGAGCUGCACCCACGGGCACGGUCCCCGGCUGCCCCGACCGGCGCUCGCGCGGAGGUGGGUUCGCGAGGAUGCUGUGAACGCGGUUUUGCACCGGAAGCUCGAUGGUUGCCGUGCGUCACGUGCACGGGGCUCGUGGGGGCCGAGGCGGCUGACCCCGGUGGACAGCGUCAGGGGACAGCGCCUCGGCCUUCUGGGCGGGAGGCAUGCUUGUGCGGAGGUGCAGGCACAGCCUCCCAGGUGACAGCAGUGGGCAUCUCCCCAAUCUGCCUAAGCAGAAGGUGGUUACCCGAAGGAAAGCCGCUGUCUGGUCCUCUGUACACUUUUUAUCAAAAAGACAGCUUUUCCGAGCCAGUUUCUCUGAACGGCCAACUGAGAACAAGCCGGAGACAACGUGGAACGGGACACGAGGUAGAGGAUUACAGCCGCCAGUAGUGUGUCGCCCGAAUUAAACAGGGAGAAGGCCCGUGGGGUCGCACGGGCUGGAUCUUUGUCGAAAGCCCGUGUAGCCGUGACCGUUUGUGUCCUUGUAGACCAGAUGCAAGAAAGUACAGUCUCUGCAGGGCCCCACUGUGGUCUUGCCAAGAUGUGUAUGAAAUGGGUGCUUUUCCUUCUAAAGGGACUUGGCCGGCUGGAAACUUAAGCACCUGUAAGGAGGCGCUGGAGUCUUGGGGAGAAAUGUGACUGCACCUGCUCACAGUGAGAGCCUUGGCCAGUGACCAGCCACUAGCUGGCCCCAACCAGCUCCAGGUGCCAGGAGGAAUUGGGCCUGGCUGGCUCCACACCCUGUGGGUCAUCAGAAAGUACAGAUACAGCUCAUGGACCUCGUAAGUGUGGCUGCCAGGUGGUGAUUGCCGGGUGAAGAGUCCCGUUCCCCUCCCCCCGCCACCCAGUGGUGUUACCCAUCUUCUGCUGGCCAGGAACCUGUUGGAUUGCUCCAUACUUCAUCAUAGGCACUGUUCCUACGUUGAACUGUAUUUGGAUUAUUUUUGUUAAUCGCAUGAGGUGAGGGUGCAAGUGAUUAAAAAGGAUCUAUGUAUUAACAUCAAAAGUACUGCAUAGCUGGGCACAGGUGACUUGCCUAUAAUCCUAGCUACUUGGGAGGCUGAGAUCAGGAGGAUUGAGGUUCGAGGCCAACCUGGGCAAACAGUUUGUGAGGAAACAACUCCCCUCCCCUCCUGCCUAAUCGCCAACAUAGCCAGAGCAGAAUGGAUUGGAGGCAUGGUUCGAGGUAAAGCGCCUGCUUUGCAGGUACACAGCCCUGAAACCCCAGUCCCACCACACAAAAAAUAUAUACACACACAUUUAUGUAUAUAUAUGCAACAGUGUCCAGAACUGCUUCUUCAUGGUGAUGUAGGCAGUAAGGGUCCCCGUGAUGGGGACAUACCACCCCUUCUGCUGUGGGUUCCACACACCAUCUGGUUUACUCAAGUGGCAAUGCUUCUCCUGUUUUGCCAGCACAGACUCCUCGAAGGUGCAUCAAACAAACCCUUUAAUUCACUUUUAAUACCUUUGAUGUAAAACUCCAUGUCCCAAUGUAUAUGUGCUCUGGGUCGGGGCGGGGGACCAGUACUGGGGUCUCAACUCAGGGUCUUGUGCUUGCUGAGCAGGCACUAUUGCUGGGGUCACAUCCCCAGCCCUCUUUGCCCAGGCUGACCAGGAAAGCACCCCUAUUUAUGCUUCCUGCAGAGCUGAAAUGAUGCCCAGCUACUCACUAUGUAUUUGUAUGUGUGUGAUACGCUAUUGUUUGGCUACUUCCUAGACAAUAAAGUUUAUAUUUAACAGUUAAAUUAAGUUUCAGAGUCCUAGGCUGGGGGUGCCCUUGCAUGUGUACAGCCUGCGUUCUGGGAGAGCUUAGGCUCUUGCCAACAUUUCUAAAUCUGAGUUGCUACCUCUUUAUCUUUCCCUCAGUCGUGAUCUUG